RNAcentral lists this ribosomal RNA (721 nucleotides) under uncultured bacterium. RNAcentral describes it as "bacterial SSU rRNA". It matches the Rfam family "Bacterial small subunit ribosomal RNA", at positions 94 to 801 of the family's 1533-position model. The record is from RNAcentral.
AGCGGCGGACGGGUGAGUAACACGUGGGCAACCUGCCUGUAAGACUGGGAUAACUUCGGGAAACCGGAGCUAAUACCGGAUAAUCCUUUUCCUCUCAUGAGGAAAAGCUGAAAGACGGUUUCGGCUGUCACUUACAGAUGGGCCCGCGGCGCAUUAGCUAGUUGGUGAGGUAACGGCUCACCAAGGCGACGAUGCGUAGCCGACCUGAGAGGGUGAUCGGCCACACUGGGACUGAGACACGGCCCAGACUCCUACGGGAGGCAGCAGUAGGGAAUCUUCCGCAAUGGACGAAAGUCUGACGGAGCAACGCCGCGUGAGUGAAGAAGGCCUUCGGGUCGUAAAGCUCUGUUGUUAGGGAAGAACAAGUAUCGGAGUAACUGCCGGUACCUUGACGGUACCUAACCAGAAAGCCACGGCUAACUACGUGCCAGCAGCCGCGGUAAUACGUAGGUGGCAAGCGUUGUCCGGAAUUAUUGGGCGUAAAGCGCGCGCAGGCGGUUCCUUAAGUCUGAUGUGAAAGCCCCCGGCUCAACCGGGGAGGGUCAUUGGAAACUGGGGAACUUGAGUGCAGAAGAGAAGAGCGGAAUUCCACGUGUAGCGGUGAAAUGCGUAGAGAUGUGGAGGAACACCAGUGGCGAAGGCGGCUCUUUGGUCUGUAACUGACGCUGAGGCGCGAAAGCGUGGGGAGCGAACAGGAUUAGAUACCCUGGUAGUCCACGCC